This is a long non-coding RNA of Hypanus sabinus (Atlantic stingray), 1723 nucleotides long. RefSeq lists it as uncharacterized. Lineage: Eukaryota; Metazoa; Chordata; Chondrichthyes; Myliobatiformes; Dasyatidae. The transcript has 4 exons. The record is from RefSeq and is a predicted model, not a curated record.
AGAGCGCCCGUUACAAGCACGAUGUUCGUUGACGUUAGAACGUGUGUCCUUAGCCCAUGUAUGGUGGUGGGCGGUGGGUUACGUCUGCAGUGGCUGAGUGCUUUUACCCUCUUGAAGACCUCGACCUCCGGUCUGGCACACCCCGAAUAAACACUGGAGGAAGACAGCCCUGCAGGGAGAUGAUAACGUAGGACCUUGGUAUCAUUCUGCAGAGGUGUCUCCCACUUUCUGAACGUUUGCUUUACGACAUUUCGCUUUUAUGAAAGACCUAUGCCAGAACCUGUUUUCGCUAACUGAAAGAGGAUUUGUGCUUUUACAAAAAAAGACACCCGCUUUAAGCUUGUGUUUACCCCGAGAAAGACUACCAUGACCAUGAAGCCUUGCACGGGCAGGUAGUCCCCGAGUUAGGAACGUCCAACUUACAAACCGAGGAAGGAGAACGCCGCCUGCUCUUUUAAGUCGGAUUGUGAUGCUGUCUGCCAUUUUAAGUCGUUGCCGUUGACACUGCUGAGAAAUGUUGCUGUGACAUCAGGAGGAUGGUUCUUUUAUCCUUUGAAUAUCCCUUCCAUAGGAUAUGAAAUCUGGACUGUUGGUUUACCAUCUUAUCUCUGACAAUGAAUCACAUUUUUAAUAUGGCUUCAGCUCAGAUAAAGUGUCCAUGUUCCUGAAAAGGGAUCCAUGUUCUCAAACGACUAACAUGGUGGUUGGACUGAACAAAUUGUGACAUAUUAAUCACAUAGUUUUCACAAAUGUGUUUUAGGACAUGAUGAUUUGUAUUGGUGGUGCUGUUGUAAGAACAAAGGAAACCUUUUGGCUGCUUGUUCCUGCUUUGUUGUUAAUUCAUAUCAGGACUAAUCUUUGACCUCAGCAUCACUUUGCUGUACUAAGUUAUAUAUCCCUCUACUUCCUUUAUUAUUGAAAAGAACUAUCAAACACUAACCAGGAGGAAGUAUGCAGAUGCUAGAAAUCCAGACCAAUACACUUGGCAGGUUGGAUAGCAUCAAUGGAAAUUAAUAUGUAGUUUUACGUUUGGGCAAGGUUCUUCUUCAGGACUGAGAAGUAAGGGGGACGAUGCCAGAAUAGAAAGGUAGGGCAAGAGGAAUGAGGAAGCCGAUAAGCGAUCCCAGGUGGGUGGGAAAAUCAAGGUUGGAGUGGAAGGAAUAUAAUAGGAGAGUGGACCACAGGAGAAAGGGAAGGAGGAGGAAUUAAUAGACGGGUAAGAAGUAUAAAGUCAGAGUGGUGAAUAGAUCAGUGGUGGGGGGGGGGGAAGAAGAAGUUUUAAUUACUGGAAGGAGAAAUUAAUAUUUAUGCCAUCAGAUUGGAGGCUGUCCAGCUGGAAAAUAGGGUAUUCUGCACCCUGAGGAUAGAAUUCCAAAGAUACACUACCGUCUGGGUGAAGGCAUAUCUAGUCAUCUCUGUUGUUUAUGACUAGCCUCUUAUUUUGACUCCCUCUUUCUUGGUUCAAGACGUCCCAGUCUGAUGAAAAUCAUUCUGCAUAUCAGUUUUGAGUAUUUGAAUGGAAUCUCUUUACUCCAAAGUGUAGGUCUAGUUCAUCUUUUGGAAUAAUCAAUGGCAUUGCAGAAAUAAUUUUGUUUAACAUUUUUUGUGCUCCUUCUGUUUUCUCCAAUGCUGAAUGUUCCCUCAAGACACUUGUGUAAGGUUCUGCUAAGACAUUGAUUCCUGUACUCAAAUACUUUUGCAAUAAAAGCUAACGUACCAAUUA